RNAcentral lists this ribosomal RNA (492 nucleotides) under uncultured bacterium. RNAcentral describes it as "partial 16S ribosomal RNA". It matches the Rfam family "Bacterial small subunit ribosomal RNA", at positions 29 to 507 of the family's 1533-position model. The record is from RNAcentral.
AGUGAACGCUGGCGGUAGGCCUUACACAUGCAAGUCGAACGGCAGCACGGUAUGAGCUUUGGCGGACGGGGGGCGACGGGCGAGCGGGGGAGGAGAACAUCGGCAUCUGCGUUUUCGUGGAGGUUGAAGGAAGUGCAAUUACCGCAAUACUCCUGACGGCCUACGGGUGGGAGCGGAAGAUCUUCGGCCCUUGCGCGGUUGGAUGUGCGGAUGUCGGAUUAGCUAGUUGGAGGGGUAAAGGCCCACCAAGGCGACGAUCCGUAGCUGGUCUGAGAGGAUGAUCAGCCACACUGGAACUGAGACACGGUCCAGACUCCUACGGGAGGCAGCAGUGGGGAAUAUUGGACAAUGGGCGCAAGCCUGAUCCAGCCAUACCGCGUGGGUGAAGAAGGCCUUCGGGUUGUAAAGCCCUUUUGUUGGGAAAGAAAAGCAGCAGGUUAAUACCCCGCUGUUCUGACGGUACCCAAAGAAUAAGCACCGGCUAACUUCGUG